RNAcentral lists this ribosomal RNA (684 nucleotides) under uncultured bacterium. Its description in RNAcentral is "bacterial SSU rRNA". It matches the Rfam family "Bacterial small subunit ribosomal RNA", at positions 55 to 723 of the family's 1533-position model. The record is from RNAcentral.
AUGCAAGUUGAACGAGAAGCCCGCCCUUUUAUCCUUCGGGAUAAAAGGGCAGGCAGAAAGUGGCGAACGGGUGAGUAACGCGUGGGUAAUCUACCCUGUAAGUGGGGAAUAACCCUUCGAAAGGAGGGCUAAUACCGCAUAAUCUCUCUCCAUCACAAGACGGAAAGAGAAAAGAUGGCCUCUGUAUAUGCUAUCGCUUCAGGAUGAGCCCGCGUCCUAUUAGUUAGUUGGUGAGGUAAUGGCUUACCAAGACUGCAAUGGGUAGCCGGUCUGAGAGGAUGUACGGCCACACUGGGACUGAGAUACGGCCCAGACUCCUACGGGAGGCAGCAGUGGGGAAUCUUAGACAAUGGGCGCAAGCCUGAUCUAGCCAUGCCGCGUGAGUGAUGAAGGCCUUAGGGUCGUAAAGCUCUUUCGCUGGGGAAGAUAAUGACUGUACCCAGUAAAGAAACCCCGGCUAACUCCGUGCCAGCAGCCGCGGUAAUACGGAGGGGGUUAGCGUUGUUCGGAAUUACUGGGCGUAAAGCGCGCGUAGACGGAUUAGUAAGUUAGAGGUGAAAUCCCAGGGCUCAACCUUGGAACUGCCUUUAAUACUGCUAGUCUUGAGUCCGAGAAAGGGGAGUGGAAUUCCCAGUGUAAAGGUGGAAUUCGUAAAUUUCCGGAAGAACCCCAGUGGCAAAGGGG